Molecule: long non-coding RNA, 339 nt
Filed under: Equus caballus (horse)
Lineage: Eukaryota; Metazoa; Chordata; Mammalia; Perissodactyla; Equidae
Description: lncRNA (ENSECAG00000058309.1)
Source: RNAcentral
CCUCAGAGGUGGGAUUAUUACUUUCCUACUGGCAUGGGUGAAGUCAUGGAAAUGUUUAUUUCUGUAACUUUUUGCUUGCCUUCUUUCCUCUUUCAGAUAACAGGACAGCCGACUUAUCAGCAUAAAAAAUAUUUCUGUCAGCAUCCAGAGACCAUGGAGUAAAUAAAGAAUUACAUUUGGAGGACUUAGAAGCAGGGAUGGCUAUAAUGGCUGGCUGCCUCUGGAAACAAGAAAUCAUGAAUUUUUUUCCUGGACCUGUGGUCAUUUUGAAGUGAGUCUAGACACAGACCCUCUCUUAGUACCUUGAUGAAUUAUUCCUGAAGAAAAGAGAAGAUACAA